Molecule: ribosomal RNA, 472 nt
Filed under: uncultured bacterium
Lineage: Bacteria
Description: bacterial SSU rRNA
Rfam family: Bacterial small subunit ribosomal RNA
Source: RNAcentral
AGAGUUUGAUCAUGGCUCAGGAUGAACGCUGGCGGCGUGCCUAACACAUGCAAGUCGAGCGAUUCUCUUCGGAGAAGAGCGGCGGACGGGUGAGUAACGCGUGGGUAACCUGCCCUGUACACACGGAUAACAUACCGAAAGGUAUGCUAAUACGAGAUAAUAUGCUUUUAUCGCAUGGUAGAAGUAUCAAAGCUCCGGCGGUACAGGAUGGACCCGCGUCUGAUUAGCUAGUUGGUAAGGUAACGGCUUACCAAGGCGACGAUCAGUAGCCGACCUGAGAGGGUGAUCGGCCACAUUGGAACUGAGACACGGUCCAAACUCCUACGGGAGGCAGCAGUGGGGAAUAUUGCACAAUGGGCGAAAGCCUGAUGCAGCAACGCCGCGUGAGCGAUGAAGGCCUUCGGGUCGUAAAGCUCUGUCCUCAAGGAAGAUAAUGACGGUACUUGAGGAGGAAGCCCCGGCUAACUACGUG